Molecule: ribosomal RNA, 253 nt
Filed under: uncultured prokaryote
Description: partial 16S ribosomal RNA
Rfam family: Bacterial small subunit ribosomal RNA
Source: RNAcentral
UACGGAGGAUCCAAGCGUUAUCCGGAAUCAUUGGGUUUAAAGGGUCCGUAGGCGGUUUAGUAAGUCAGUGGUGAAAUCUCCGGGCUUAACCCGGAAACUGCCAUUGAUACUAUUAGUCUUGAAUGUCGUGGAGGUAAGCGGAAUAUGUCAUGUAGCGGUGAAAUGCUUAGAUAUGACAUAGAACACCGAUGGCGUAGGCAGCUUACUACACGAAUAUUGACACUGAGGCACGAAAGCGUGGGGAUCAAACAGG